RNAcentral lists this ribosomal RNA (484 nucleotides) under uncultured bacterium. RNAcentral describes it as "partial 16S ribosomal RNA". It matches the Rfam family "Bacterial small subunit ribosomal RNA", at positions 29 to 507 of the family's 1533-position model. The record is from RNAcentral.
AUUGAACGCUGGCGGCAUGCUUUACACAUGCAAGUCGAACGGCAGCGCGGGCUUCGGCCUGGCGGCGAGUGGCGAACGGGUGAGUAAUACAUCGGAACGUGCCCAGUAGUGGGGGAUAGCUCGGCGAAAGCCGGAUUAAUACCGCAUGCGACCUGAGGGUGAAAGCGGGGGAUCUUCGGACCUCGCGCUAUUGGAGCGGCCGAUGGCAGAUUAGCUAGUUGGUGGGGUAAAGGCCUACCAAGGCGACGAUCUGUAGCUGGUCUGAGAGGACGACCAGCCACACUGGGACUGAGACACGGCCCAGACUCCUACGGGAGGCAGCAGUGGGGAAUUUUGGACAAUGGGCGAAAGCCUGAUCCAGCAAUGCCGCGUGUGUGAUGAAGGCCUUCGGGUUGUAAAGCACUUUUGGCGGGAACGAAAAGGACUGUGCCAAUACCGCGGUUCGAUGACGGUACCCGCAGAAUAAGCACCGGCUAACUACGUG